RNAcentral lists this long non-coding RNA (5787 nucleotides) under Daucus carota (carrot). RNAcentral describes it as "long non-coding RNA (DCAR_LNC002493)". The record is from RNAcentral. Lineage: Eukaryota; Viridiplantae; Streptophyta; Magnoliopsida; Apiales; Apiaceae.
CAGCAUAACAGAUUUUUGUAUCACUUUAUUAUUCCCUGAUUUUUGGUUAUGGCAUACUCAUAAAGGUCUUGUUUGUUCGGAAGAAGUGGAAUGGGACAGAAUAAAAGUUUAUUUGAAAUAUUUAUUUGGACGUUCUUUCAUAGUAUUCAUUUUUCGGUCCAUUCUCCGCAACACCAAAACUAAAACCUUUGUGAUCUCUGUUUAUAUGUAUAUAUCAUGUGCAGGUCGACUUUACACCGCGUGUUAAGGACUAAACAAGAUCGAUAUUCUGUAAGUACUUUGUAGAGUUCUUAAAUGAAAUUUCUGGGAUCUAAGGCUAUCCUGUAGAUGCUUAUCUUACAAUGCUGCAUUAACUCUAAAUAAAUAGUCUAGCUUGAGUCUCUUUGCAUUGUAAGAUUUCCAAUAUUCACUCUUUAUAUUAUUGUCAAAAACUUGUAUGAUGGCUAGAAUUCAACAUUUCCAUACUCUGUUUGCUCCAAUUGUUUCGUUCUCUUCACAUGUUGGCAAGCCGCUUUAUUUAUUCACUUUCACGUAUUUUUCUCCUAGUUCAACAUUGCUAAAUCAUCAACAGAAACAAAGUUACGGUUUCUCAUCACUAUAUUCUUGUUUGCAGAUCGCUUUUUUUGUUGAGCCAAGGGAGGACUGUCUAGUCGAAUGUUUGCCAACUUGCCGGUCAGAAGAGAACCCUCCCAAGUAAGAACAACUUUUCAAUUGAGAAUUUCAUAUCCGGAUUUUGAGAGUUCUGUUGGAACACAUUUAUUCGCUCUUUGCAUAAAUGAAAGUAUGUGAUAGGCGAAUGCAGUUCAGCAAUUUAUACACAGUACUAAAUUAUAACUUGAACAGAAUUCUCAAGUUUAUAACAUUGUUUAUUACUAUGUAGGACUAAUUAAUUAACUGUUUUCCAAUUGGUUAGGUAUCCACCCAUCGAAUGUGAGGCUUAUCUUCUCCAGCGAUACAGGGAUACUCAAGCUGACCCAAGCUCAUACAAAAUAGUAUGAAUUAGCUACCUAACUGGAAGCACCAUGAACCACCGGAUCUUCUGGCCUAAUUUCAUUUCCAGAAUUAUUAGCCGAAAUUUAUUGUUAGCUCAAGCUUAACCUUUUUUUUAUUUAUAAUUAUUUCAGACAUUUGAAUCAAACAUACGCUACAAAAUGCAACAAGAGAAGGAUCAUGACCAAUUGAAAAUAAUUUAAACGGUGUAAAUGUUACUCGUUAGACAAGUAACACUAGCAAAAACUAAUAUCUUUAAAUUUUUUCAAACAAAAUAUGGCAUGAAGCAGUAAUUCAAACAAUUAACAAAAUGGCAUUCCCAGUCUUUGGCAAGAAUAGUACCCAAUUUCCAAUGUUACUAAUAAUUCCACGCUCAGGGGUGCAAUUAUAUAUACCCAAUUUUGCAAUAACGAAUGGCAUUUUUUCCAUGACAACAGCAGGGAUACAGGAAUAAAGAUUUCAGUUAAAUAGGGGCACAAACAUGUUCAUGUACAUGUAGUCCCAGAUUAUAAACUCUCAGCGUGCAUCUUAGCAAUGCAAGUAUGGUACUGGUAAAUUUUUGAUAUUAUCAUCUUCACCAACCCAUAAAACGAACUCACAAGAACUUGGAGGAAAAAUGUUACUCUCUCCGUCCCUUUUUAGUAGUCAAAAUUCGUUUUGUACCGGUCAAAUUGACCAAAAUUUGAUUAAAAUUUAUAAAUAUCUUAUCAAUUGAAAAAAUAAAAAAAAAAUAUGUCACCGGAAAUAAUUUUUAAUCUAUUUUAAAAUGUAAUUUUCUGUUUUUUAAAAUAAUUAAAGAGUGACUUGUGAUUUUUUGUCAAAAUUUAGUCAAUUUGACCAACAAAAAUAGAAAUGUGACAACUAAAAAACGACGGAGGGAGUACUAUUUCAGCUUUAAAGAAAACUUUUCGAUCAAAUAGUGCUUGUAAUUAAUUGUAUGAUAUAUAUAAAUUAUGUAUUAUUGUUAUAAAAUUGUGUGAAUUUUUAAAAGUGGAAAUCUAAUCUGAAAUUUGAAACAGAAAGGAGUAAUAUUAUAUUAAUUAUUUGAUUUGAUUUGAUUAGGAUUUAUAAAAGCGUUAAGGUUUAUUAAGCACCAUAAAGAGGAAGAGAAAGUGGUUGAAUGGAAAAUACGAGAUAAAGAUAUUAAAGUAAUCUGUGAUUAAUCCACAAAGUAGUAAAAUUUCACGUCUUUUAGCAAUCAUGUUUUGUCAUUGUCUCGUGUGUAAAUUUUGGUCCUUCGAUAACAAUUAAACGGUAGACUGUCAUUUCGUAUCGACUUCAUUGAUGAUUCCAAUUUCCAGUAGUCCAGGGUAUAAGAAGCUCCGGUACAAAAUUAUUAUAAGCAACCAUAUAUAGAGAAAUAAAAUAAAUGAUGAACUCCGUUGAGCUCAAUUGUAUUGAUCUCUGCGGCCCUGAUAUUCAAAACUCUGUUUCUUUGCUCAAACAGGUAGCCCCAGAACUAUACUUCCAUACAUACUUGUGUGAGUGUCUAAUGAUUUGAACUUUUUUUUGAAGUUAUUGUUCAGUUGGGUCUUGUUUAGUUGCUUCAAGAUUAUAAUAUUCUUGUUGUUUUGUGAAUCUUGAAAUUUUGGGUUUGCGUAAAAAGAUUGGACUAAUUUGUAUGUGUUUUUCCUAAAUAUGUAAUUUUUGGAUACCCUUUAGUUGAUUGGUUGGUGAAGUUGUCAACUUUAAAAAAAUUGGAGUGAUCACACAAAUUUUUGAUUGAUUCUUGGUUACUAGGCUUGCUUGGAUUGUGGGUUUUUUUAUGUUAUCAAUCAUGGAAUCAGCCAAGAAUAUAUGGAUGAGGUUUUUGCACAAAGCAAGAAGUUUUUCGACCUCCCGAUUGAGGAGAAAAUGAAGGUUAUAAAGAAUGAGAAACAUCGUGGGUAUACUCCAAUUCUGGAUUCAUAUCUUGAUCCUGUCAAUCAAAUUAAUGGUUUGUUAUUCUACAACCUGUUCUAGUUUUUAGUUUGUAACAUUUAUUGCAUUAUAUUCGAAGUAUACAGUGUCCUUAAAGUGAGAAUUUGAACCCAUGACUUGUUGAUGGAAGAAGAGGGAAAGGAACCUUGCCACUAAGCCAUUAACUAAUUAUGUUUAUGGUUGAAUAAGAGUUCAUAUAAGAAAUUUUUGUAGCAUGAUUGGUUGCCCUUUGCAGAAUUAUUUUCAAAUGUUCUUGUUAAUGGGAUUUAUGAAAAAUUACCCAGGAAUAUUCAUUCACUUGACAAGAUUGCAUAUUUAGCAAAUGCGGUGUCCAAUACAAACCUAAUGGUCUUUUAAUUCAGCAAAGAAAGAAGCAGCUAAUAAUCUUUUACUUAUCCAAAAGAUACUAGCAUGUAACAAUAUGAUGUUUGCAAUAGAAAAUUAAUGCAUUACAAAGAUAUUGUACAUAUUUAUUUGCCUUCUACAGGUGACUACAAAGAGGGUUAUUACAUUGGUGUUGAAGUACCUGAAGGUGAUCCUAGAGCACAAAAGGCGUUUAUUGGCCCAAAUGUGUGGCCUGCCGCAGGUAAUUUUUGGAAAUAACUAUGUUGAUGUGAAUGAAAAUACAUCGAAAAGCGUUAGGCCUAAAGUUGGUAAGAAUAUGGCCUCUUACUAAUAGUACAGGUUUUACUAUUUAGAUCUAACUAACUGGUUUUGGACUUUUUUGGUCCAUGAUUUACAGAUACAUUGCCUGGUUGGAGAGAAACAAUGGAAAGAUACCAUCAAGAAGCGCUGUAAGUUAUUAUUACCUCUACAAGAUAGAAUCAGAAGUGAAGAUUCUAUUUUAUGGUUUUAGAUAUAAUAUGACUUAUACUAGGUUAAGAACUAGAUUUGUGACCUUUGGUUGAAGUAUUUCCAUGCUGCAUCUUAUUCAAAAGCACGUGUCACUUUAUUUAUUUAUAAAGUGACAUUAUAAAGUCUGUUUAAACAUAAGGGGUCCUUCUAGGUAUUUUUAUUUAUUGAGUCAUCCGAUAGGAUCAUAACAAUGUCUCUCCUGUAUGCCAUUAAAGGAAACAAGUUGUAUUAGGGAAGAAUGCUAGUCACCAAAAAUUGCAGAUCAUCAGUAGACAAUUACGUGAAAUACAAUGUGCCGUUUUAUGCUAGAUUUUAUGAUUGAUUUUAACAGCUUUGUUUAUGAACUGGAAUAUGAUCUUUCUAUGCUAUUACAGAGCAGUGGCAAGAGCAGUGGCAAGGCUCAUGUCCUUAGCAUUCAAUUUAAGGAGUGAUUUCUUUGAUCAACCCGUAUUGCUUGGUGAUUCAAUUGGAACCCUGCGCCUGCUUCGUUAUGAAGGUGAGGGUUUAUUGUUGGAUGGAUUCCGGUAGAUAAACAGGAUGGGAAAUCAUUGUUCGUAAUAUUAUAAUUUUCAAUCUUAGGUCAUGUCUCUGAUUGCAUCAAGGGAAUAUAUGGAGCUGGUGCUCAUACUGAUUUUGGCUUUAUCACCCUCCUGACAACAGACGAUGUUGUUGCUCUACAGGUAAAAGAAUAAUGCUCAACUGAAGUUACUUGGCCUUAUUAUCUUAAUAUUCUCCGCUAAUUGGCCCUGCUAGUUUCCUAUGCCUUGUUUACUUACAUUUACCUAUUCUAGAUAUGUAAGGAUAAGGAUGCUGAACCAAAUGUAUGGGAAUAUGUGGCACCAUUAAAAGGGUAAGUUUUAUGAUCUUUAUAAAUUUCACUUUCACUGUUGUGGAAAUGUUUGAAUAGUUUGCAGGUCCUUGAGAAAAAAAUCUUUAUAGAACAGGACAAUUUCUAUUGAUAUUUUACACUAACAUGCAUUCUCAAAAGUCUUAUAUUUCAUGAUGUAAGUUAUUGUGCUUUCUGCUAUCUUAUUUGCUUAUCAUUCCAGGGCUUUCAUAGUAAAUAUUGGUGAUAUGCUUGAGCGUUGGAGCAACAAUAUAUUCAGGUAACAUUAAAUUGAUUAUCUAUCAAGAUGUACCCAAACUGAUUGGGUAUUCAUGUCUAUUAUUCAGACAAAAAUUUUAGUGUGAACUGAUAAUCGCGAUUAUUGGGAAAACAGUACAGUAAGGGGGCAUUUCGAAAAUUGAACUCGGGACCUCUCGCACCCUAAGCGAGAAUCAUACAACUAGAACAGAUGCCCAUUUUGAGAAGAUUUGAUAAAAACUGACAAGAGUGUGUAACAUUAGUUAAGUCAUGAACUUUCACUGACGAAUAAUUAAUUCUUCGAAGACUAACCAGGGACUAAUAUUAUUGUUUAUUGGCUCGGGUUCUCAAAAUUAAAUAGUUUUUCUUAUAUUACUUUCCUUAUGAAUAUUAUUGGCAAAAAUUGUAUAUAAACUUAAUCGUGUAUCCGUGUGUGAUACUGAUACAUUUACUACUCUGGCGGAGAUUGCUGAUAGGAUUCUCAAUGGGAAAGGGAAAAUGGAUAGCCCCGAAUGGGGUAGUCCCUCCCGCUAUAACGGGGCAUGGUGCCGGUAUGGUAUACUUUGAUGGCUUUAUUACUGACGAUGAAACUAUGCAGAACUAAAAUAAAACCAGCAUAAUAGAUUUUUGUAUCACUUUAUUAUUCCCUGUUAUUUGGUUAUGGCAUACUCAUAAAGGUCUUGUUUGGUCGGAAGAAGUGGAAUGGGACAGAAAUAAAGUUUAUCUGAAAUAUUUAUUUGGACUUUUUUUGUUUUGAAACAAUAUUUAUUUGGACUUCCUUACAUUUCGGUCCAUCCUCCACAACACUAAAACUAAAACCUCUGUGAUCUCUGUUUAUAUGUAUAUAUAAUGUGCAGGUCGACUUUACACCGCGUGUUAAGGACUAAACAAGAUCGAUAUUCUGUAAGUACUUUGUAGAGUUCUUAAAUGAAAUUCCU